UAGGGACUAAAUUGAUAAUUU
Molecule: microRNA, 21 nt
Filed under: Corchorus olitorius
Lineage: Eukaryota; Viridiplantae; Streptophyta; Magnoliopsida; Malvales; Malvaceae
Also listed under: 1 other name
Description: mtr-miR574
Source: RNAcentral